ACCAUUACGAGAAAGCAUAACGCGUCUCCCCAUUUUGUUGCAACAUCAAAAGAGCAGAAGAGAUGUGUAAAACGGAAGACACACCUGAAAUAAGAGGCACGUGGAAAAUGUUUGGAAAGUUUUGAAGAAAAUUAACUUGGUAUUUGCUUUUCAAGAAACUAGAUAGGAAAAAAUUAUUGUAAAGUUAAAAGCAGAGAGUGUUGAAAUAGUUUUUUUUUUUUUAGCGUAAGUUUCAUGCCUUUUCGAAAUUAAAAUCAGUGAUUUAUUUACUCGAAUAAUCAGAUUAAUUCUCAAUUGAGAAAUAAAGAUUUGGAAAUGACAAACAAAGGAAGGAAGGAGAGUGUCCAGAAAAGAAGAUAAAUUUAAUGACAUGUUUCAUUGCGCUUUUCAAGAAACUAGAUAGGAAAAAAUUAUUGUAAAGUUAAAAGCAGAGAGUGUUGAA
RNAcentral lists this long non-coding RNA (442 nucleotides) under Microcebus murinus (gray mouse lemur). RNAcentral describes it as "lncRNA (ENSMICG00000048274.1)". Lineage: Eukaryota; Metazoa; Chordata; Mammalia; Primates; Cheirogaleidae. The record is from RNAcentral.